AAUAUUGCACAAUGGAGGAAACUCUGAUGCAGCGACGCCGCGUGAAUGACGAAGGCCUUCGGGUCGUAAAAUUCUGUCCUUGGGGACGAUAAUGACGGUACCCAAGGAGGAAGCCCCGGCUAACUACGUGCCAGCAGCCGCGGUAAUACGUAGGGGGCGAGCGUUGUCCGGAAUUAUUGGGCGUAAAGGGUUCGCAGGCGGUCUUUUAAGUCAGAUGUGAAAGACCACGGCUUAACCGUGGGGUUGCAUUUGAAACUGGAGGGCUUGAGUAUCGGAGAGGGUAGUGGAAUUCCCAGUGUAGCGGUGAUAUGCGUAGAUAUUGGGAGGAACACCAGUGGCGAAGGCGACUACCUGGACGAAAACUGACGCUGAUGCACGAAAGCUAGGGGAGCAAACA
RNAcentral lists this ribosomal RNA (397 nucleotides) under uncultured bacterium. RNAcentral describes it as "partial 16S ribosomal RNA". It matches the Rfam family "Bacterial small subunit ribosomal RNA", at positions 360 to 774 of the family's 1533-position model. The record is from RNAcentral.